AACCGGAUUAGAUACCCUGGUAGUCCACGCCGUAAACGAUGUCGACUUGGAGGUUGUGCCCUUGAGGCGUGGCUUCCGGAGCUAACGCGUUAAGUCGACCGCCUGGGGAGUACGGCCGCAAGGUUAAAACUCAAAUGAAUUGACGGGGGCCCGCACAAGCGGUGGAGCAUGUGGUUUAAUUCGAUGCAACGCGAAGAACCUUACCUGGUCUUGACAUCCACAGAAGUUUUCAGAGAUGAAAUGGUGCCUUCGGGAACUGUGAGACAGGUGCUGCAUGGCUGUCGUCAGCUCGUGUUGUGAAAUGUUGGGUUAAGUCCCGCAACGAGCGCAACCCUUAUCCUUUGUUGCCAGCGGUCCGGCCGGGAACUCAAAGGAGACUGCCAGUGAUAAACUGGAGGAAGGUGGGGAUGACGUCAAGUCAUCAUGGCCCUUACGACCAGGGCUACACACGUGCUACAAUGGCGCAUACAAAGAGAAGCGACCUCGCGAGAGCAAGCGGACCUCAUAAAGUGCGUCGUAGUCCGGAUUGGAGUCUGCAACUCGACUCCAUGAAGUCGGAAUCGCUAGUAAUCGUGGAUCAGAAUGCCACGGUGAAUACGUUCCCGGGCCUUGUACACACCGCCCGUCACACCAUGGGAGUGGGUUGCAAAAGAAGUAGGUAGCUUAACCUUCGGGAGGGCGCUUACCACUUUGUGAUUCAUGACUGGGGUGAAGUCGUAACAAGGUAGCC
Molecule: ribosomal RNA, 730 nt
Filed under: Escherichia sp.
Lineage: Bacteria; Pseudomonadati; Pseudomonadota; Gammaproteobacteria; Enterobacterales; Enterobacteriaceae
Also listed under: 1 other name
Description: bacterial SSU rRNA
Rfam family: Bacterial small subunit ribosomal RNA
Source: RNAcentral